RNAcentral lists this long non-coding RNA (482 nucleotides) under Sinocyclocheilus grahami. Its description in RNAcentral is "lncRNA (ENSSGRG00000018624.1)". The record is from RNAcentral. Lineage: Eukaryota; Metazoa; Chordata; Actinopteri; Cypriniformes; Cyprinidae.
GCUUAACACAAGAAAUCAUUGGGCUAUUUGAUUUUCAUCAUAAAGGAGGAUCCAACAUGGCCUUUUCUCCAGCCAAGUUAUUCAAACACGCACACACAUACACACACAUGCACAACCACACACUAGCUGACUUUACAGCGGAAGUCUUUGUCUUAGUUGUCUUCCCUCCCAUCAGAGGACAACGGCACCUUUGAGUUUGGCAGAAGCGUGAAGAUGUCUGUUAAAUCAGACCAUAGCAAGGAUGAGGAGGGGAAUCAUGGGCCGGAGGUCACGGUUAUGGAGACGAACCGCUUCGGCUUCAUUCUAGGGAAUGGAGAAACUGACAGUGACGGUCCAUGUCCUGAGUUAGUGAGACAUCGAGAGUCCAAGUGGCUCAACCUCAUGACUCAAUGGGAGCAAGUGAUGGAGAAAAAGAGCAACAAGGUGUGUCUAUCUUGCUAUUGUAUACUUGUGUGUAAAAUUGUAUAUAAAAUCAAAUCUAC